RNA transcript from Magnolia sinica, 3501 nucleotides. It is a transcript of the gene named protein STRICTOSIDINE SYNTHASE-LIKE 10-like, with no coding region annotated. The record is from RefSeq and is a predicted model, not a curated record. Lineage: Eukaryota; Viridiplantae; Streptophyta; Magnoliopsida; Magnoliales; Magnoliaceae. The transcript is spliced from 5 exons.
GUGGUUUGUGUUUCUUAAUAGAGGGAGUUGCUUAAUGCACAGGUAUGAGAUGUGGCUGAGGUUGUAGCUGCUGUUGUGGCCGUCCAUUUUCUUUGGCUGUGGUGAGGGAAGAUUCAUCGGAUUCCUAAUGUACCACAACAAAAUAGUGAAUUUUGGAGCAUAAAGUGUUACGUCUGCUGAGGAAGUUGUGCUCUUGCCCCAUGCGAGCUCUAAGCUAUUCAUUAGAGGGGCUCAUCAGUGUUAUGUGCUGCAGCAUGAUCAUCAGAUGGUCCACAUGUGUAGCCAUUGACGAGUUUCAAAAAUCAUCAUUUUUUCCAUAUAUAAUGUGGCCCACCUGAUGCCAAGCCUGACAUGAUUUUUGGUUCGUCGGUAAUUUGCUGGGGUCUACCUGGUGAACAGCCUAGAUCCUGCUUGUAGGUUUGGAAAACGGGAGCUACCUGUUGUUGGAGCCUGUGUUGAAUUAUAGUCAGUGCUCUUGCCAUUAUAUAAACUGGAACAAGAAGUCCAACAGUCCUCAACAAUAGCAGCUGUUUGUCAGAUAAAAAGAGAGGAUCAAAACAUUAUAAUUCAAGGAUGAAUGCUAACAUCGGAUGUUAUCUGUACUUCCAUCAGGUGGGUCCCAUCACUAACAUGCCCUGGCCCAAAAAUCAGGCCAGUCAGCUCAUCAGGUGGGCCACACAUGCAAAUCUAAUGUGGAUUGUUUCUUAAACAUGCAGACCCAAAUGCUGAGCAGAGAAUCCUAUUUCCAGGCAAGGGCCCAUCUAAUGCAGAUGAAUCAGUUGUUAUUAUUGACCCUAAAUGCAGAAAAGGCGGUGACCAGUGCAAUGGUUUUUUGGCAACUGAAGUUGUUCUCCAUUCCAUCAAUGGUGAUUGCAGUCAAGCUGAAGCAAUGCGAGCUAUCAACUCUGACGUCAGAGAAGACAACCGUCUUUCAGCCAUCCCUGGGUCAUCGUGUCUCUCUUUUAGUGAAGAUCUUAGUUGUAUUGAAGCUGGUUGGCAGGUCAGCCCAGAUAUUUUUGGAGAUAACAACACAAGGCUCUUCACUUAUUGGACUUCGGGAGUAGGUAUCCGAAUUCAACCGAGAGUAUAUAAUCCAAAGAUCAAAGGUAUAGGAUCUUCCAAUCUUCUAAAACUUAGGGGAAUUCUCUAUCUCCUUGGUUAAGCAUUGCACCUUGGUAAAUAGCAUUCAAUACUACAGUUUUCCAGUCUGUCUACCUGGAUUUGCCUCUCACUAGUUGUUGGCACCUUUUAACAAAAGAUACGUAUAGCACAAUUCUCAACCGCUUCUUUUAACACCUAGCAUUAUACUUUAGACUUCGAGACUUAAAGUGAGCAAUUGACAUUCUUUGCACAAUGGCCAUGCAAGCAACAUUUUCUUGAAAAAGCUAUUCCAAAAAUGUUUAUUUGUAAUUAUACUCUUUUGUCAACUAAUUUUGAUUGGAAUUAUAUUGAGGGAAGUUUUAGGAAAGGGCAACACACACAGAGAGGAUUCCCAUAUUAUAUUGUGCCAAUGGACUAUUAUCGACACGACUGCACUCAAGCUGCUACUAAGCUGGGAUUGUGACUGAACUUUUCCUCCAUUAUAAGACUUCUCCUUAAAAAAUCAUCACCCAUCUUUCUAACAGAUCUGCUUCCUAGCUGUUUGUACUUGCUAAAAUAUUGAAAUUGAUGCUUGCCCAACUCUAUACAUGAAUUGCUUCCUGUCAUAUUUCGUGCAACCAUAUUUCAGAUUUUUCUCCAGGUGGAAAUUAAUUUAGAUGGUUCUCUUGAAAGCACCUUUAUUUCUUUCUUUGUUUUAGAGUGCAUCCUAGAGACAUUUGUAUUAGACUGAAUUGAUGGAAGGAUUGAAUGUCAUUAAAACAUCUCAAUAGGCCCUGCAUGUCAAUUUGUAUGUUCAGCUUUUUUUUUUUCUUUUAACCAUCUUUUGCAUCUAUCAUUUUUUUUAACCUCUAUGCAUUCCAUAUCAAAAAAAAAAAAAUUACAAUCGAAGGGAAAUAUUUCGGGAUACCACAGGAAAAAAAAUCUAGUGGCAGCCUAUCGUAAGGGACUGAAAAACAAUGAACAAUAAUAUUUCAGUCUACCGCUGGAAAAAUUUGUAUGUUCAGCUUAUCCUAGAGACAUUUGUAUCAGACUAUGAAUUGAAUUGGCAAAAUUUAAUCAUAGUGGAAAUGCCAAAGACACAUGAUGCCACAGGUGAGUGCAGAAUGCUAGUAGUAGACUAGUCAUCCCUACUUUAUCGCUUAGCAUCCUCAUAAACACAGCAUGCGAUCGAUACUUGAGUCACCAAUAAUCUGUUUACUGAAGCCACACAACUACAAUCUACAGGUCAGAAGAUAGUGAAAGCUUUUAGACUUUGGGAAAAACAAAUUACAUGUGGCUUUAAAAGUAGGUGUUAGAAUACAUCUAUGACUGUCAAUUCACACAGUAGCUUCAUGAAUGUAACACACAACUACUCAAAAUGAAGCUAAUGCACCAAUUUUUCUUUACUUAAUGCCUUUAAACAUUUGUUCCAGCAAUGAUCACAAUGAUGCAUUUGAAGGACUAUGUUUUAGGCAGUUGCAUUGAUAGGGACAUUCAUAUUGCAUUGUAGUGUCUUGCUUUUUGAGCUAAUGUGUGACGGCUAUUUCUGCUUUGCAGUGCUAUUGGCCAAAAUCUAUAAACAAGUACUUAUGUUUGGGAGAUUUUCUUUGCGGUUCUCAUUUCUAUAUGUGGCUUGGUUUUAUUUUCACUUCUCAUUGGUAAUAUGCACGAUUACCUUCACUCCAACCAUCCAGCAUUAUAGCAUGGCAACAGUUAUUGGACUGUGUCUGCGAGUUAAGAUGAUGCGCUGUUUACCUCCACAUUUCAAGGAAAGAUUUUCAGGGCAUUGAUAUGUCCAACUUCAGCUUCUAAUCAUUGCGUACCAUAGCCAAAAACCAUAGAGCAUCAGAACCUUUGAUUCCAUUCCUGCCCGUCAAUUCUCAAAACGAGAAAUCAAAAGAGAAGGCUAAGAUGGGAGGGAUUGAAACCAACAAAAACAGCUGGUAUUGGAAAUGCAACAGAAGCGAGCAGUUAGGUCUAGUUUCAGCCACUGGCAAAUCCUUUUGCAAAAGCAUCUAACAGUGAUGAGAAGUUAAAAGAGAAGAUGAAAUUGAGUACAACUGCCAGUGAGGGGAGUGCUAAGGAAGAUACAGUUUCAAUGGUUUACGAAUCCUUUCAAAAAGGCAUCUAACAACCAGGAGAAGUUGUCUCUUUUCGAGUCUCUCAAGAAGAUGAAGGUCAGCUAUUUUAGACAAAACAAGGGAGGGAAGUAGGAGCGGACCAGUUUAGCACCUUUGCCACAAAAGAACCAGCCCUGAGAAAGAACGGAUAUGCCUUGCAUUGCUCACUGCACUUGAGCUUCAUGCAAUUGUCGAGUUUUUGUUAUUGCCAUGAAGUAACAAAAUGGUGAUAUGAUUGAGAUCAUUGACAUGAAUGAUGACAGAUUUUUCAAUGGUGAUUAUGUAAAGGUUGCUAUGUUUA